CCCGGGGGGGGAUGCUAUACAUGCAAGUCGAGCGGAUUGAUGGGAGCUUGCUCCCUGAUAUCAGCGGCGGACGGGUGAGUAACACGUGGGUAACCUGCCUGUAAGACUGGGAUAACUCCGGGAAACCGGGGCUAAUACCGGAUAACUCAUUUCCUCGCAUGAGGAAAUGUUGAAAGGUGGCUUUUAGCUACCACUUACAGAUGGACCCGCGGCGCAUUAGCUAGUUGGUGAGGUAACGGCUCACCAAGGCAACAAUGCGUACCCGACCUGAAAGGGUGAUCGGCCACACUGGGACUGAAACACGGCCCAAACUCCUACGGGAGGCAGCAGUAGGGAAUCUUCCGCAAUGGACAAAAGUCUGACGGAGCAACGCCGCGUGAGUGAUGAAGGUUUUCGGAUCGUAAAGCUCUGUUGUUAGGGAAAAACAAGUGCCGUUCAAAUAGGGCGGCACCUUGACGGUACCUAACCAAAAAGCCACGGCUAACUACGUGCCACCAGCCGCGGUAAUACGUAGGUGGCAAGCGUUGUCCGGAAUUAUUGGGCGUAAAGCGCGCGCAGGUGGUUCCUUAAGUCUGAUGUGAAAGCCCACGGCUCAACCGUGGAGGGUCAUUGGAAACUGGGGAACUUGAGUGCAGAAGAGGAAAGUGGAAUUCCAAGUGUAGCGGUGAAAUGCGUAGAUAUUUGGAG
RNAcentral lists this ribosomal RNA (687 nucleotides) under Rossellomorea oryzaecorticis. RNAcentral describes it as "bacterial SSU rRNA". It matches the Rfam family "Bacterial small subunit ribosomal RNA", at positions 36 to 703 of the family's 1533-position model. The record is from RNAcentral. Lineage: Bacteria; Bacillati; Bacillota; Bacilli; Caryophanales; Bacillaceae.